This 64-nucleotide transfer RNA is filed under the name Halocynthia roretzi. RNAcentral's name for it is "tRNA-Leu". The record is from RNAcentral. Lineage: Eukaryota; Metazoa; Chordata; Ascidiacea; Stolidobranchia; Pyuridae.
UGCUUUAUAGGAUAAUAAUUAAUCUGUCGUUUUUAGGAGACGGAGAUGUAGAUACUGAAGCUAG